GUGUAAAUAUCUUACCCAACGCCAUCUCAUUCUCUGGAUCUCCAUCAACUUAUCUUGACUCAACUCAGAGGCGUAUUACUCAGAAACUUCAGCCACGGAGUCUCGGAGACCCAGGCAUCGUUCAAACUUAUUUCUCUCUUGGGAAUUUCCACCUGCAUCCAAUCAUAUUUCAGAAAACAAAGGGAAGAAUGAUUCAGGGGAGAAAUGGCCGGUAAAUAUUGUGAAGGUGGUAAAGCAUCGCAGCUAUAAGUGGCCAAUUUCGAUAGCGACCAGUUUACAUUUACCUGGUGUCACGUUCUGUACGUGAAAAGUGUUAAGUUGAGGAAGAAAAUUAUAUGUAACAACGAGAAGUGGACAGCUACGAGAAAAAAAUUGUUUCAAAGUUUCAUAUUACUAAUGGCACCACUUCGAUCAAUAACGUCUCGCUAAAAUGCAGCUGCAUGUUCGUUGAGUGAAGUGACAGCCUAAUAUUAUCUUUAAUGCGUUGCAGAAUAAAAAAUAACUUUCGGAAGACAAUUGUGGAGAAGGCACAUCAGUUGCUCGCCGACAGUACCACAAGCAAAACGCCUUCUGUGGAGGUGGGAUACGUACACCAUUAGAUAGUGAUACCCCAGGACUUCAGAUAUAGAAAAAUAUUGUUGACGUGUUUAGAGGGUUCAUUAAUUUUUCAUCUAUUGACGAACCUGAAAUUAUUCUUCGUCAUCUGUCGACUGGUCUCAGUGUCCUGCAAUGGUGACCAAAUUAAUCAAGAAAGACAAGAUCCAGAGGGACCAGGAGAAUAUUUUUUUGCAUGGAUAUUAUCAACGUAACAGGAUUCUUCUAUUAAUACUUGGAAUCUGGCCAGAUACUCCUUCAUGGUUAAUAAUUACUAUACAAUGUCUUGUGGUUCUAUCGACGAUAUCAAUGCUGAUACCACAGUAUGCGUUUUUAAUUCGAGUCUGCGAUAAUUUAGAGACUCUGGUAUCUGCAAUGGUAGAGCAACUGACUGUUGUCAUAGCAUAUAUUAAAUUGUACUACUUUGGAACAGGAAAGGAAUGGAUGCAAACAAUGAUAAAUUCCGUUAACGAGGAUUGGCGCGAAGUGGAUGAUUCAUUAGUUGAAACUCUUCAUAUUUAUGCUAAAAAGGGCUACAUGCGAACCACUAUCUACAUGGUUACUCUCUAUUCUAUGGCAAUCAUUUACUGUGGAUCUCCUUUGAAGUCACCAAUUCUUGAUGUUGUUUAUCCUCUCAAUGAUUCAAGACCAAAAUUUUUUCCGUUACAAGUCGAUUACUCUAUCUACGGCAUCGAUGCGGAUGACUACUUUAUUAUACUCAUAAUGCAUUCCAUGAUAACUGUCAUAAUUGUAGUGCAUAUGCUAGUAACAAUCGAUACUUUUAUUUCAAUCAUGGUUCUACAUUGUUGCGGAGUAUUUGCAGUUGUUGGAGACAUGUUACAACAGAUCCGGGGAGAUUGCUCACCCCGGGAGCAAUAUGAAAUCCUAUGUAACGGGAUACGACAACAUCGUCGAGCCAUAGCAUUAGCAGAAACCAUUGAAACAUCGUUUACAAUAAUGUAUGGGUUCGUAGUUUUAAUCACCAUGGUACUGAUGAGUUGUGGACUACUUCAAUUAAUAAUGAAAAUGGACCAGCCAACGGAGAUUAUGAGAGGAGGUUCAUUUGAGGUUGCCGCAAUGCUCCAUCUGUUUUUUAUAACUCUACCAGUUUCAGUUGCAAUUGGCCGGGGAUGUCUUUGAAAGCGAAACAAUUGAUAUCGAUUAUGUUGAUGCGUAGCAUAAAACCAAUGCAGAUGACCGCUGCCAAAUUUUUUCCUCUCAAUAUCGAGAGUUUUGGGAAAGUCCUGAAAACGUCGUUUUCGGUCUUCACGAUGGUAUUAUCGAGUCGAUGAUUCUUUCAUAGAACUCAAAUCCAAAUAGACUUUCUGACAUUCGACUCAACGAUUGGAUACGAAUAGAAAAGACGCAAAAUUAGUACUUCUUCACCAUCUUUGCAAAACUAUAUCUGUUGAAUAAAAUGCAAAUGCGGGAGAUGAAAUGGAAUUCUUGCAUUUAUAUUAGAUAAAUAAGGCCAUAGAUAGUUUUUCAUUGAUUUUCGUGACUACACAAAAUAACGAAAUUAAUAGGAUUGACAUUCAGUACACACAGAGCAACACUCAAUUAAUAUUCUGUCUUUUCGACGAAACAGUCGCGAACUUUUUUCUGAACGUUUCGUAAUUAUUAUUAGAAUGAUCUGCGAAAAAUUAGGAUACUAUCAAGGAUAAUUUCCCAGUUGAUUCUGUAGUCGAUCUGCAAAUCGUGAGUUUCGUAAUUUCGACUAAAUAUUUGUACAAUGUGUGCAGAGAAUUUUCAGCAAGGAAAUUCAAGAAAAAACCGUAGA
RNA transcript from Diachasmimorpha longicaudata, 2374 nucleotides. RefSeq lists it as uncharacterized. Lineage: Eukaryota; Metazoa; Arthropoda; Insecta; Hymenoptera; Braconidae. The transcript is spliced from 10 exons. The record is from RefSeq and is a predicted model, not a curated record.